AUUUUUUUUUGUGUGCUAAUCUCUCUAUCUCCUUCUCCAAAUCUCGAAAGCGACGACGAGCUCCUCAGUCGUCACCACCACCACCACCACUACCUUCGAUUCGUCGUACUCUUCACCACCACUACGGUCACUGACGUGCUUGUCACCUUUACGAAUAUGAGGAGAUUCGACAUCUAGAGUCCGUCAACGAAUCUGUCAAGGUCUUUCCUUCACAAAUAUGGAUUUUGUAGCGGAACUCCGAGUGGAUAAGAAACUGAGAUUACUCUCCCUCUAGGUUGUGCUUCGUGUCAUUGUGUGGCGUUGGAUUUUGAAGGUCGUUGCUACACUUGGGGACGCAGAGGAAGGACGAAGAGUGCACGUUAUAGAAAGAGACUUGUCUGAGCAAGACAGAAUCGUUGGUGAAUUGCUUCAACCUGGUGGUUACUUGAAGCUAAUGGAGCUCGGACUUGAAGGUCUUGCAAAUUAUCUGAGGCUUGGAAGCAAGAUGAAGAAGAAGAUCAGUGAAAUCCAGAGAGGAGGAGGCUUGAAGCUUGAAGCUUGAAGAUUGAAGAUUGAAGAUUGAAGAUUGAACCUUAGGUUUAAUUUUUUUUUCUAGGUUUACUUUAUUUUCUUAUUCUGAUUUGUUUUUGUAAACCAGAAUUUCCUUGUAAACCAGAAAUUGAUUAAUAAAUAAAAUUUAAUUUUUAA
This is a long non-coding RNA of Raphanus sativus (radish), 687 nucleotides long. RefSeq lists it as uncharacterized. The transcript is spliced from 4 exons. The record is from RefSeq and is a predicted model, not a curated record. NCBI's taxonomy places the organism in Eukaryota, Viridiplantae, Streptophyta, Magnoliopsida, Brassicales, Brassicaceae.